GACGAACGCUGGCGGCGUGCUUAACACAUGCAAGUCGAGCGGUAAGGCCCUUUCGGGGGUACACGAGCGGCGAACGGGUGAGUAACACGUGGGUGACCUGCCCUCAGCUCUGGGACAAGUCUGGGAAACCGGGUCUAAUACCGGAUAUGACUCCAUGACGCAUGUUGUGGGGUGGAAAGCCUUGUGCGGCUGAGGAUGGGCCCGCGGCCUAUCAGCUUGUUGGUGGGGUNAUGGCCUACCAAGGCGACGACGGGUAGCCGGCCUGAGAGGGCGACCGGCCACACUGGGACUGAGACACGGCCCAGACUCCUACGGGAGGCAGCA
This 324-nucleotide ribosomal RNA is filed under the name uncultured bacterium. RNAcentral's name for it is "bacterial SSU rRNA". It matches the Rfam family "Bacterial small subunit ribosomal RNA", at positions 28 to 353 of the family's 1533-position model. The record is from RNAcentral.